AGGACGACGAGGACUCGAGCAGCGCCGACAGCAGCAGCCAGCGGGGAGUCCCCGCCGCGCUGCGCCAGCCUGCGGGGGUCCCCCGCGCAGCAGAAGAAGAAUGGAGUGGCGAUGGGAAGCCGAGGUCAUCUGGCGACCAAUCAGGAGGCGGCGGAGGCGGAAGCCGCGAUGACUCUGAGCUGAGAGGGCGCGGCGGCGGGGGCGGAGGAGG
Long non-coding RNA from Schistocerca piceifrons (Central American locust), 211 nucleotides. RefSeq lists it as uncharacterized. The record is from RefSeq and is a predicted model, not a curated record. NCBI's taxonomy places the organism in Eukaryota, Metazoa, Arthropoda, Insecta, Orthoptera, Acrididae. The transcript is spliced from 3 exons.